AGUGGAUGGGGAGCAACCUAGUUGUGCGUGUGUAAAGGUAGUGCCAAGAAAAGCGGUGAUCAUGAUGAAAAUCAAUUCCCGGUACCCGAAACCGACACAGGUGGGCAAGUAGAGAAUACUAAGGGGCGCGAGGUAACUCUCUCCAAGGAACUCGGCAAAAUGACCCCGUAACUUAGGGAGAAGGGGUGCCACCGAGAGGUGGUCGCAGUGAAGAGGCCCAGGCGACUGUUUAGCAAAAACAUAGGUCUCUGCAAACUCGAAAGAGGAGGUAUAGGGGCUGACGCCUGCCCAGUGCCGGAAGGUUAAAGAAGUUGGUCAGUCUUAGGAUGAAGCUAGCGACUGAAGCCCCGGUGAACGGCGGCCGUAACUAUAACGGUCCUAAGGUAGCGAAAUUCCUUGUCGGGUAAGUUCCGACCCGCACGAAAGGCGUAACGAUCUGGGCGCUGUCUCGGAGAGAGGCUCGGCGAAAUAGGAUAGUCUGUGAAGAUACGGACUACCUGCAUUUGGACAGAAAGACCCUAUGAAGCUUUACUAUAGCUUGGAAUUGUGUUCGGGCUUCCUGUGCGCAGGAUAGGUGGGAGGCGUAGAAGGUAUUCUUGUGGGGAUACUGGAGCCAACGGUGAGAUACCACUCUCAGGAGGCUAGAAUUCUAACUUAAUUAAGGACAGUUUCAGGUGGGUAGUCUGACUGGGGCGGUCGCCUCCAAAAAGGUAACGGAGGCGUACAAAGGUUCCCUCAGACUGGUUGGAAAUCAGUCGAAGAGUGCAAAGGCAGAAGGGAGCUUGACUGCGAGAAGUACAGUUCGAGCAGGGUGGAAACACGGUCUUAGUGAUCCGACGGUGCUGUGUGGAAGGGCCGUCGCUCAACGGAUAAAAGUUACUCUAGGAUAACAGGCUGAUCUCCCCCAAGAGUUCACAUCGACGGGGAGGUUUGGCACCUCGAUGUCGGCUCAUCGCAACCUGGGGCGGAAGUACGUCCCAAGGGUUGGGCUGUUCGCCCAUUAAAGCGGUACGUGAGCUGGGUUCAGAACGUCGUGAGACAGUUCGGUCCAUAUCCGAUGUAGGCGUGAGAGUAUUGAGAGGAGCCUUCCUUAGUACGAGAGGACCGGGAAGGACGCACCGCUGGUGUACCUGUUAUGAUGCCAAUUGUAAACGCAGGGUAGCCAAGUGCGGAGAGGAUAACCGCUGAAAGCAUCUAAGUGGGAAGCCCACCUCAAGAUGAGUAUUCUGGUGUAAGGUCACGGGAAGACGACCCGUAAAUAGGCACGAGGUGGAAGUGCAGAGAUGUAUGAAGCCGAAGUGUACUAAUAGACCGUCGGCUUGACC
This 1325-nucleotide ribosomal RNA is filed under the name metagenome. RNAcentral describes it as "bacterial LSU rRNA". It matches the Rfam family "Bacterial large subunit ribosomal RNA", at positions 1561 to 2925 of the family's 2925-position model. The record is from RNAcentral.